CAAGUAGUUCUCCUGCCUUGGCCUCCUAAAGCGCUGGGAUGACAGGCAUGAGCCACUGUACCCAGCCAAUUUCACUUUAAGGGGUCCCAUGCUGCUAUAUGAGAGGCAGCCAACAUACCUGGCCUACCUGGCCUUCCUGGCCUGUCUCUUCACCUUUGAAAAUGACUUUCCAGGCUAGCCUGUAGACUACAGAUGAUUUCUCCAGGUGAACCUAUUAAUUGCAGAAGAGAUUCCAGAAAACCAAAAAAAAAAAAAAAAAAAAAAAGAUUAAAAAGUGAAACUGGUUGGCUGACACCUUGGAGCAGAGACUCUUAUCAUUUACCUCUUUUUAGUUGGACUGGAAAGUACAGGCCCUGCCCACAGCAGAAGCUCAUCGAUGUUUUUUGAUGAUCAGUGAGUGUCUUUUACCAAUUACAGGAUUCCUGAGACAGGCUAUAAGAUGAAUGAACCUUGAGGACACUGUGGUUCUGAGGGUGAGGAUCAAGAGCCAGCCCAUGAACCCCUGAUUCGGCGCGUGAAGCUUGUACUCUGGCAGAACGUCCAGCCUGGCAUCUGAGGCAGCACUUAUCUGGAGCCUCUUGUAUGAGGAGGAUCUCAAAAGAACCAGGGGGGAGCCCUGGGAGAGGAACCUGGGGCCAGCCGUGGACACAGACAUGGAUUCGAGAUGGUGUCAGGCCAGCCUGAGAAAUAGCAGGAAACCUGGCAUGGUGUAGGGUGGGGCUCUAGGUGCCUGAUGAAAGUGGGAUGGAGGGAGUGCAUCGUGGUGACUGCAGAGUCCUCAAAGCCACUAUUACCCUCACCUCCACCUCCUGUCAGCUUGUGACCUUGAUGAGGAAACUUAGACUCAGAGUACUUGUGGAAUGUACCCAAGGUCACACCGUAGCACAGAGAAAUGGAUGUUUCUCGACAGCCCAGUCUAGUCAUAUGGCAAAAGAAACGAAAAAACAGAACCCAAGUCCAAUUCUGGAGGCUGGGAAGUCCAUGAUUAAGUGCUGGCGGAUUCAGUGUCUGGUGAGGGCUGCUUCCUGGUUCAUAGACGUGCCUUCUUGCUGAGAUCUCAGAUGGUGGGCGGGGCUUGGCAGCUCUGGAGCCUCUUACAAGGGCACUAAUCCCAUUCAUAAAGGCAUCAUCCUCAUGACCUGAUCACCUCUCAAAAAUCCCACCUCCUAACACUAUCACCUCUGAGGUUAUGGAUUUUGUUGGAGACAGAAACAUUCAGACCAUAGUGGUACUCGAUAAAAUGUUUAUUAAUAUGUAUUAAUUCUGGGAGUCAAGCAAACCUAAUGAAUUGAUCACUGGGAUUUUGGCACCACAAUCAGAUAAACCAUCUAAAAAUAUGUUGCAUAUUCUGCGGUUAUUCCAUGACUCAAAGUUAUGUAUUAAAAUAAACCACUGUCAACUUUAGGAGACUGAGGCGGGUGGAUCACCUGAGG
This is a long non-coding RNA of Cercocebus atys (sooty mangabey), 1433 nucleotides long. RefSeq lists it as uncharacterized. Lineage: Eukaryota; Metazoa; Chordata; Mammalia; Primates; Cercopithecidae. The transcript is spliced from 5 exons. The record is from RefSeq and is a predicted model, not a curated record.